GCCUAACACAUGCAAGUCGAACGGGGGUAGCAAUACCCUAGUGGCGAACGGGUGAGUAACACAUAAGCAAUCUGCCCUUCACAGGGGGAUAACAGCGGGAAACUGCUGCUAAUACCGCAUAAGACCACAGUACCGCAUGGUACAGGGGUAAAAACGAAUCAGUGGUGAAGGAUGAGCUUAUGUCCCAUUAGCUAGUUGGUGAGAUAACAGCCCACCAAGGCGACGAUGGGUAGCCGACCUGAGAGGGUGAUCGGCCACACUGGAACUGAGACACGGUCCAGACUCCUACGGGAGGCAGCAGUGGGGAAUAUUGGGCAAUGGAGGAAACUUCCUUACCCAGCAAUGCCGCGUGAGUGAAGAAGGUCUUCGGAUUGUAAAGCUCUUUGAUUGGGGACGAAGAAAGUGACGGUACCCAAAGAACAAGCCCCGGCUAACUACGUGCCAGCAGCAGC
RNAcentral lists this ribosomal RNA (452 nucleotides) under uncultured bacterium. RNAcentral describes it as "bacterial SSU rRNA". It matches the Rfam family "Bacterial small subunit ribosomal RNA", at positions 46 to 518 of the family's 1533-position model. The record is from RNAcentral.